Molecule: long non-coding RNA, 1522 nt
Organism: Rhineura floridana
Lineage: Eukaryota; Metazoa; Chordata; Lepidosauria; Squamata; Rhineuridae
Exons: 2
Source: RefSeq, a predicted model, not a curated record
UCUCCAGCAGCUCCUGCUGCGUCUCAAUGAUCUUGUUGAGUUCUUUGAGAUACUCCGCCGCCUUGCUUGGGUUCUCCGCCGGGGUCUCCAUGGCCCCGGCCAGCCCGGCGGGUGGGGGCUGGCCAAAGCGCUGAGGGAGCCGGCGGCGCCCGGACGCUCAGCUUGACUACGAAUGUAAAAGGACCGUCAACAAACCAAGCACCACCCGACUACACUUUCCCCCCGGUUCAGCACGGUUGCAAAUCCGCUUUCCGGCUAGGGAGCGCCAACACAGCUGUCCUUACUUCGGGCCGCCAUUGCCCACGGGCCCUCUUGCUGCUCUUGAGCGAGCCGGCUGUGUUUGCUGUUAUUGCGCCUACACCUACGAGGUCCAGCCCUUCCGCGGCUUUGGAACGCGGGCUUCCGUUUCUGUACUUAGGCAACAGCCAUCAACUCCCUCUUCUCCUCCAACAAACCCCCUGGAAAAGUCACAGCGGACAGCCCAGUAAGAGCUCGCGCAUCUAGUUUUCUGCACCUCAGCCUCUUCCUUCGUUAGUUCUUCCUGGCCUUUCCUUCUUGCCCCUUGUUUUCCCCCCUCUUCUUCUCACGCAGGCGCUCUCUCCACAUCUCCUGCUGCCGGGUAGCUGCUCUUCUUAUUAAGCAGCAACAGUCGCUUCCUACGCGUGCCGGUGCGGAGGGACUCGCGCGAAGUUUGGGAAGUGCCCGUUCCCUACAGGGCGUCGCGCACUUUCACCGACUCUGGGGAGGAGCUGGUCCUCCUGAGCAGCUCCUAGCAGCACUGCCUUGCCUCCCACUGACUGACUGACUGACUGAGCCACUAUUGCCGCUGCCUGCUGCUGCUGUCACCGGCGUCCUCCCAGCAACCGCUGGGCAGGCGAGUCAGUCACAGCGCUUCACUCCCCCUUUCUCUCACACGCCCCGGAACGACUGAGAACCAGAGUCCGGAGCUGCUUGGAGGAGGAACGGCUAAGGACAGCUUCAGGACGGCUGCGAAGGCGGGGGCCUGCUUGGUGAAGAUAACACUUGGGGAGCAAACGAGGGAUCGCCCGGUCGCCUCAGAGCCGCUCCUCUUUUGGCGGGAAAAUGCGAGGAGCCCCGCGGAACAGCACCUUUAUAGGCGGGAAGGUGGUUAGGUGGCUUGGCUGGAAAGAGAGGAGCAUCCCGCUCCUCUCCCACCCCCAUCUCGGUCUCCUCUCCAAUCUGGGGGGCAUCUCUGCGAACAGCUGGGGACCCCAACAAGGCGGAAGCCCCAUCAGAGUACAUCAUCUCCUCAACAGUUUAUUCAUCCUCUGAAACUGCAAUCAUCUGGGUCAGCAUUAUCUCCAUGGCAACCGAACUUAUGAAGACGCAUAUGUUUUAUCUUUCUGAAAAUACAAAAAAAAAAAAAAAAAAAAGAUAGAGAAAUCUCCCAGAGGGGAAAUGUUUCCUUUCUUUGUUGGUCCUCUAUUUUGAAACUUUUUUACCCAAUCAACAGGCAUAAAUAAGGAUGCCACACAAUGAAUUAAACAGUUUGGGAGUAAUG